Molecule: ribosomal RNA, 1704 nt
Filed under: Mesorhizobium sp.
Lineage: Bacteria; Pseudomonadati; Pseudomonadota; Alphaproteobacteria; Hyphomicrobiales; Phyllobacteriaceae
Description: partial 23S ribosomal RNA
Rfam family: Bacterial large subunit ribosomal RNA
Source: RNAcentral
CGAGCGAACGGGGAGCAGCCCAGAGUCUGAAUCAGCUUGUGUGUUAGUGGAAGCGUCUGGAAAGUCGCACGGUACAGGGUGACAGUCCCGUACACGAAAAUGCACAGGUUGUGAACUCGAAGAGUAGGGCGGGACACGUGGUAUCCUGUCUGAAUAUGGGGGGACCAUCCUCCAAGGCUAAAUACUCCUGACUGACCGAUAGUGAACCAGUACCGUGAGGGAAAGGCGAAAAGAACCCCGGCGAGGGGAGUGAAAAAGAACCUGAAACCGUGUACGUACAAGCAGUGGGAGCACCUUCGGGUGUGACUGCGUACCUUUUGUAUAAUGGGUCAGCGACUUAUAUUCUGUAGCAAGGUUAACCGUAUAGGGGAGCCGAAGGGAAACCGAGUCUUAACUGGGCGUUAAGUUGCAGGGUAUAGACCCGAAACCCGGUGAUCUAGCCAUGGGCAGGUUGAAGGUUGGGUAACACUAACUGGAGGACCGAACCGACUAAUGUUGAAAAAUUAGCGGAUGACUUGUGGCUGGGGGUGAAAGGCCAAUCAAACCGGGAGAUAGCUGGUUCUCCCCGAAAGCUAUUUAGGUAGCGCCUCGUGAACUCAUCUUCGGGGGUAGAGCACUGUUUCGGCUAGGGGGCCAUCCCGGCUUACCAACCCGAUGCAAACUACGAAUACCGAAGAAUGUUAUCACGGGAGACACACGGCGGGUGCUAACGUCCGUCGUGAAGAGGGAAACAACCCAGACCGCCAGCUAAGGUCCCAAAGUCAUGGUUAAGUGGGAAACGAUGUGGGAAGGCCCAGACAGCCAGGAUGUUGGCUUAGAAGCAGCCAUCAUUUAAAGAAAGCGUAAUAGCUCACUGGUCGAGUCGGCCUGCGCGGAAGAUGUAACGGGGCUAAACCAUGCACCGAAGCUGCGGCAGCGACACUAUGUGUUGUUGGGUAGGGGAGCGUUCUGUAAGCCGUUGAAGGUGGCCUGUGAGGGUUGCUGGAGGUAUCAGAAGUGCGAAUGCUGACAUAAGUAACGAUAAAGCGGGUGAAAAGCCCGCUCGCCGGAAGACCAAGGGUUCCUGUCCAACGUUAAUCGGGGCAGGGUGAGUCGACCCCUAAGGCGAGGCCGAAAGGCGUAGUCGAUGGGAAACAGGUUAAUAUUCCUGUACUUGGUGUUACUGCGAAGGGGGGACGGAGAAGGCUAUGUUAGCCGGGCGACGGUUGUCCCGGUUUAAGCAUGUAGGCGGAGGUUCCAGGUAAAUCCGGUACCUUUUUAACGCUGAGGUGUGAUGACGAGGCACUACGGUGCUGAAGUAACAAAUGCCCUGCUUCCAGGAAAAGCCUCUAAGCAUCAGGUAACACGAAAUCGUACCCCAAACCGACACAGGUGGUCAGGUAGAGAAUACCAAGGCGCUUGAGAGAACUCGGGUGAAGGAACUAGGCAAAAUGGUGCCGUAACUUCGGGAGAAGGCACGCUGAUAUGUAGGUGAAGCCCCUGCGGGUGGAGCUGAAAUCAGUCGAAGAUACCAGCUGGCUGCAACUGUUUAUUAAAAACACAGCACUGUGCAAACACGAAAGUGGACGUAUACGGUGUGACGCCUGCCCGGUGCCGGAAGGUUAAUUGAUGGGGUUAGCGGUAACGCGAAGCUCUUGAUCGAAGCCCCGGUAAACGGCGGCCGUAACUAUAACGGUCCUAAGGUAGCGAAAUUCCUUGUCGGGU